Molecule: ribosomal RNA, 507 nt
Filed under: uncultured Sphingobacteriales bacterium
Lineage: Bacteria; Pseudomonadati; Bacteroidota; Sphingobacteriia; Sphingobacteriales
Description: bacterial SSU rRNA
Rfam family: Bacterial small subunit ribosomal RNA
Source: RNAcentral
CGCCUUGCCAGCCCGCUCAGAAACUCAAAGGAAUUGACGGGGGCCCGCACAAGCGGAGGAACAUGUGGUUUAAUUCGAUGAUACGCGAGGAACCUUACCUGGGCUUAAAUGUAGGUUGCAUAACUUAGAAAUAGGUUUUUCCCUUCGGGGCUACUUACAAGGUGCUGCAUGGCUGUCGUCAGCUCGUGCCGUGAGGUGUUGGGUUAAGUCCCGUAACGAGCGCAACCCCUAUCAUUAGUUGCCAUCAGGUCAUGCUGGGGACUCUAAUGAGACUGCCCGCGCAAGCGGUGAGGAAGGUGGGGACGACGUCAAGUCAUCACGGCCCUUACGUCCAGGGCUACACACGUGCUACAAUGGUAGAUACAGCAGGUUGCCACAUGGUAACAUGGAGCUAAUCCCAAAAGUCUAUCUCAGUUCGGAUUGAGGUCUGCAACUCGACCUCAUGAAGCUGGAUUCGCUAGUAAUCGAAAAAUCAGCAAUGUUUCGGUGAAUACGUUCCCGGGCCUU